ACUCCAGUGGCGCAAUCAGUUAGCGCAUGGUACUCACAAUGCUGAGGUUGUGAGUUCAACCCUUACCUGGAGUA
Molecule: non-coding RNA, 74 nt
Organism: Albula goreensis
Lineage: Eukaryota; Metazoa; Chordata; Actinopteri; Albuliformes; Albulidae
Source: the annotation of a GenBank genome assembly